RNAcentral lists this ribosomal RNA (450 nucleotides) under uncultured bacterium. RNAcentral describes it as "bacterial SSU rRNA". It matches the Rfam family "Bacterial small subunit ribosomal RNA", at positions 328 to 794 of the family's 1533-position model. The record is from RNAcentral.
UAGCCAGACUCCUACGGGAGGCAGCAGUGGGGAAUAUUGCACAAUGGGGGAAACCCUGAUGCAGCAACGCCGCGUGAGUGAAGAAGUAUUUCGGUAUGUAAAGCUCUAUCAGCAGGGAAGAAAAUGACGGUAUCUGAGUAAGAAGCCCCGGCUAACUACGUGCCAGCAGCCGCGGUAAUACGUAGGGGGCAAGCGUUAUCCGGAUUUACUGGGUGUAAAGGGAGCGUAGACGGCGAUACAAGUCUGAAGUGAAAGCCCGGGGCUCAACCCCGGGACUGCUUUGGAAACUGUUGAACUGGAGUACAGGAGAGGUAAGCGGAAUUCCUAGUGUAGCGGUGAAAUGCGUAGAUACUAGGAGGAACACCAGUGGCGAAGGCGGCGUACUGGACUGUAACUGACGUUGAGGCUCGAAAGCGUGGGGAGCAAACAGGAUUAGAUACCCCGGUACAA